UACAACUUUCAGCAACGGAUCUCUUGGCUCUCGCAUCGAUGAAGAACGCAGCGAAAUGCGAUAAGUAAUGUGAAUUGCAGAAUUCAGUGAAUCAUCGAAUCUUUGAACGCACCUUGCGCUCCUUGGUAUUCCGAGGAGCAUGCCUGUUUGAGUGUCAUU
RNAcentral lists this ribosomal RNA (159 nucleotides) under Coprinus comatus. RNAcentral's name for it is "5.8S ribosomal RNA". It matches the Rfam family "5.8S ribosomal RNA". Rfam says of the family: 5.8S ribosomal RNA (5.8S rRNA) is a component of the large subunit of the eukaryotic ribosome. It is transcribed by RNA polymerase I as part of the 45S precursor that also contains 18S and 28S rRNA. The record is from RNAcentral. Lineage: Eukaryota; Fungi; Basidiomycota; Agaricomycetes; Agaricales; Agaricaceae. RNAcentral also lists the same sequence under 9 other names.